RNAcentral lists this ribosomal RNA (799 nucleotides) under uncultured bacterium. RNAcentral's name for it is "bacterial SSU rRNA". It matches the Rfam family "Bacterial small subunit ribosomal RNA", at positions 9 to 785 of the family's 1533-position model. The record is from RNAcentral.
GAGUUUGAUCCUGGCUCAGGACGAACGCUGGCGGCAUGCCUAAUACAUGCAAGUCGAACGCACGAAGUUGAAAAGCUUGCUUUUCGACCAAGUGAGUGGCGGACGGGUGAGUAACACGUGGGUAACCUGCCCAUAAGAGGGGGAUAACAUCCGGAAACGGAUGCUAAUACCGCAUAUUUCAAACGACCGCAUGGUCGCUUGAUGAAAGGUGGCUUCGGCUACCGCUUAUGGAUGGACCCGCGGUGCAUUAGUUAGUUGGCGAGGUAAUGGCUCACCAAGACAAUGAUGCAUAGCCGACCUGAGAGGGUGAUCGGCCAUACUGGGACUGAGACACGGCCCAGACUCCUACGGGAGGCAGCAGUAGGGAAUCUUCCGCAAUGGACGAAAGUCUGACGGAGCAAUGCCGCGUGAGUGAAGAGGGUUUUCGGAUCGUAAAACUCUGUUGUUAGAGAAGAACAAGGAUGAGAGUAACUGCUCAUCCCCUGACGGUAUCUAACUAGAAAGCCACGGCUAACUACGUGCCAGCAGCCGCGGUAAUACGUAGGUGGCAAGCGUUGUCCGGAUUUAUUGGGCGUAAAGCGAGCGCAGGCGGUUCUUUAAGUCUGAUGUGAAAGCCCCCAGCUCAACCGGGGAGGGUCAUUGGAAACUGGAGAACUUGAGUGCAGAAGAGGAGAGUGGAAUUCCAUGUGUAGCGGUGAAAUGCGUAGAUAUAUGGAGGAACACCAGUGGCGAAGGCGACUCUCUGGUCUGUAACUGACGCUGAGGCUCGAAAGCGUGGGGAGCAAACAGGAUUAGAUAC